Small nucleolar RNA from Lathyrus oleraceus (garden pea), 105 nucleotides. The record is from RefSeq and is a predicted model, not a curated record. NCBI's taxonomy places the organism in Eukaryota, Viridiplantae, Streptophyta, Magnoliopsida, Fabales, Fabaceae.
AACCCACGGAAAGGGAAUAGUCUUAGAAAAUCUUUAUAACACUCUCACGUGUCAAACAAGGACUCUUCAUCUUCUUGCCUAAAGUUAUUUAUCUCAUUUCUAACU